Molecule: ribosomal RNA, 416 nt
Filed under: uncultured bacterium
Lineage: Bacteria
Description: bacterial SSU rRNA
Rfam family: Bacterial small subunit ribosomal RNA
Source: RNAcentral
AACUCCGUGCCAGCAGCCGCGGUAAUACGGAGGGUGCAAGCGUUAUCCGGAUUUAUUGGGUUUAAAGGGUGCGUAGGCGGUAGGAUAAGUCAGUGGUGAAAAUCUGCAGCUCAACUGUAGACGUGCCAUUGAAACUGUUUUACUUGAGUGACCAUGAGGUAGGCGGAAUGUGUAGUGUAGCGGUGAAAUGCUUAGAUAUUACACAGAACACCGAUUGCGUAGGCAGCUUACUAGAGGUUUACUGACGCUGAUGCACGAAAGCGUGGGGAUCAAACAGGAUUAGAUACCCUGGUAGUCCACGCUGUAAACGAUGAUAACUCGCUGUUGGCGAUAUACAGUCAGCGGCUUAGCGAAAGCGUUAAGUUAUCCACCUGGGGAGUACGCUCGCAAGAGUGAAACUCAAAGGAAUUGACGGG